GACGGCGGCGCAACGACAUUUUACGAGUAUGAAAGAGAAAGGCCCCUACCCGUUGGUCCGUGUGCGUGACCCUCAGACACGCCAAUGGGAUGGGCCAUUUGAGCUGCAUUGCCUCGGGCGGGGGUACACCUGUGUACAGACGCCUGAAGGGCUACUGAAAUGGGUCCCUAGUCGUAUGGUUCGUCCUGCCCUAACCUCGUAGUGUUUGAGUGUUUUUCUUUACAGAUUGCUGUCAUCCUUUCCUGGCUUGUGACGUCUUGGGUAUCUGCUACGAAUUUCUGGCAGUGGAUGCAAAACCAAUUGGGGGGCCCGAUGUGUAUCCGGAUGACAUCCCUCUCAGAGUCCAUCAAUACGUGUCUUUAUGGGAUCCGGCUGUCAGAGACGGAGCUGAAAACGUUGUGUACGAACAAGUGUCAACAGAAGAGUUAAAACUUCUCACC
Molecule: long non-coding RNA, 440 nt
Organism: Aquila chrysaetos chrysaetos
Lineage: Eukaryota; Metazoa; Chordata; Aves; Accipitriformes; Accipitridae
Exons: 3
Source: RefSeq, a predicted model, not a curated record